This 1146-nucleotide unclassified non-coding RNA is filed under the name Hevea brasiliensis (rubber tree). Lineage: Eukaryota; Viridiplantae; Streptophyta; Magnoliopsida; Malpighiales; Euphorbiaceae. The record is from RNAcentral.
CGCUUGUUAUUGAUUUGACAGUAACAUAAACAGUAGGAAUAUGUACAAAACACAAUCUAUUCGUCUAUAUUAGUCAAAUAAAUCAUCAUUAUUGUGCAAAGAAUUAGAAAAGCAAUGGCCAUUCAUGCCUCAAAUUAAAGGAUAAUAUAAUUUCAAAAAUAAAUGAAUAAAUCGGAGGAGAUUAUGAAAUUUACCCACUCUGAAUUUCUACGCAUCAACCUAAACUCUGAGUUUAAUCAACUGAUCAAACUCUGUUACAAGUCGAGAAAAAAUAAUAAUAAUAUAAAAUAAAAAAAAGCCUUCCCUUCAUUUUCAUCAGUGAGGGAAGAAUGAACUAACUGCCACUGCCACACCAAACAGCAAGUGCAAAAUCGACUGCAUACGCAUCACACUCACUCACGUACUUGACACUCCUAAUCUGUAUCUACCAUUGGAAAACAAAGCCACUCAUCAAACUACUCAAGGAAUUCCUUUCUCAGCAUAACUAUUAACCAGAGCCAGCGCGUUACUUGUAAACUUUUUCACUUUCGCUGCUCGGUAACACACCUCAGAUUUCACCGGCCCUUCCGGAACAUCCUCAAACCCGUCCGUACACGUUUCUUCGUCCGUCAAAGCAGCGCUCAUCCACGUUUGCACGUUGCUCAUUUGGAACCUCAGUGCCUCUGCCGACGAUCCCGCUGCUCCGAGCUGCCGCAUUUGCUUGAGCGAGCCUCGAAUCUCGUCUACAGCGUCGCCGAAGUUGGAGAAGCAGUCGUGUAGGGCGGCGGCUGCGCGAUGGUCGGAGCCGUAGUCGGAUUGGCGGGAGAGGUUAGAGACGUAGGCGGUCAUGCGUCUGGCUCUCGAAAGGGUUACGCCUAUGGCGACUCGAGCUAGGCGGGCUGGAUUUUGCUGGAUAGCAGUGGCAUAGCGGGAAAGGGAAGUGAAGCAUAUUUCAGGAUACAAUGUUGCGCUGCAGCUUGUACGGAUGUAAUCGGUGCUGUUAGAUUGAGAGGCGGGGCUGGGGGAAGCUACGGUGGCGAUUGGUUGGAGGUGGAGGAGUAAGGUGGAGAAGAGGAUGGAGAGAAGAAGAGGCCGUUGCGUAUGUGUUUCCAUUUUCGCCACGCUUUUGUUAUUGGUAUUUUGAGGAUGACCUGAGCUGAGCGAGUG